CCUACGGGGGGCUGCAGUAGGGAAUCUUCGGCAAUGGACGAAAGUCUGACCGAGCAACGCCGCGUGAGUGAAGAAGGUUUUCGGAUCGUAAAACUCUGUUGUUAGAGAAGAAUAAGGAUGAGAGUAGAAUGUUCAUCCCUUGACGGUAUCUAACCAGAAAGCCACGGCUAACUACGUGCCAGCAGCCGCGGUAAUACGUAGGUGGCAAGCGUUGUCCGGAUUUAUUGGGCGUAAAGCGAGCGCAGGCGGUUUCUUAAGUCUGAUGUGAAAGCCCCCGGCUUAACCGGGGAGGGUCAUUGGAAACUGGGAGACUUGAGUGCAGAAGAGGAGAGUGGAAUUCCAUGUGUAGCGGUGAAAUGCGUAGAUAUAUGGAGGAACACCAGUGGCGAAGGCGACUCUCUGGUCUGUAACUGACGCUGAGGCUCGAAAGCGUGGGGAGCAAACAGGAUUAGAUACCCCUGUAGUC
Molecule: ribosomal RNA, 466 nt
Filed under: uncultured Enterococcus sp.
Lineage: Bacteria; Bacillati; Bacillota; Bacilli; Lactobacillales; Enterococcaceae
Description: bacterial SSU rRNA
Rfam family: Bacterial small subunit ribosomal RNA
Source: RNAcentral